This 253-nucleotide ribosomal RNA is filed under the name uncultured bacterium. RNAcentral describes it as "partial 16S ribosomal RNA". It matches the Rfam family "Bacterial small subunit ribosomal RNA", at positions 524 to 776 of the family's 1533-position model. The record is from RNAcentral.
UACGGAGGGUGCAAGCGUUGUUCGGAAUUAUUGGGCGUAAAGCGCGUGUAGGCGGUUUAUUAAGUCUGAUGUGAAAGCCCCGGGCUCAACCUGGGAAGUGCAUUGGAUACUGGUAGACUUGAAUACGGGAGAGGGUAGUGGAAUUCCUAGUGUAGGAGUGAAAUCCGUAGAUAUUAGGAGGAACACCGGUGGCGAAGGCGGCUGCCUGGACCGAUAUUGACGCUGAGGUGCGAAAGCGUGGGGAGCAAACAGG